CGUGUAGGCGGUUGGUUAAGUCGGAUGUGAAAGCCUGGGGCUCAGCCCCAGAAGUGCAUCCGAAACUAUCCGGCUAGAGCGCGAUAGAGGAGGGUAGAAUUCCUGGUGUAGCGGUGAAAUGCGUAGAUAUCAGGAGGAACACCGGCGGCGAAGGCGGCCCUCUGGAUCGUUGCUGACGCUGAGACGCGAAAGCGUGGGGAGCAAACAGGAUUAGAUACCCUGGUAGUCCACGCCUUAAACGAUGGGUACUAGGUGUUCGGGGUGUUGACCCCCUGAGUGCCGCAGUUAACGCAUUAAGUACCCCGCCUGGGGACUACGGCCGCAAGGUUAAA
This 332-nucleotide ribosomal RNA is filed under the name uncultured bacterium. RNAcentral describes it as "bacterial SSU rRNA". It matches the Rfam family "Bacterial small subunit ribosomal RNA", at positions 568 to 898 of the family's 1533-position model. The record is from RNAcentral.